RNAcentral lists this ribosomal RNA (1304 nucleotides) under metagenome. RNAcentral's name for it is "bacterial LSU rRNA". It matches the Rfam family "Bacterial large subunit ribosomal RNA", at positions 1002 to 2324 of the family's 2925-position model. The record is from RNAcentral.
UGUCCAUGGCCGAGAGGGAAAGAACCCAGACCAUCAGCUAAGGUCCCCAAAUGUAUGUUAAGUUGAUCUAACGUGGUCCGAUUGCUUUGACAGCUAGGAUGUUGGCUUGGAAGCAGCCAUUCAUUUAAAGAGUGCGUAACAGCUCACUAGUCGAGCGAUCGGGCGUGGAUAAUAAUCGGGCAUCAAACAUACUACCGAAGCUAUGGCAGCAGUAAUGCUGGGUAGGGGAGCAUUCCAGUUGCAGUGAAGGUGUGGCGUAAGCCAUGCUGGAGCGUCUGGAAAAGCAAAUGUAGUUAUAAGUAACGAUUAUGCGGGCGAGAAACCCGCACGCCAAUAGACUAAGGUUUCCUGAUCAACGCUAAUCGGAUCAGGGUCAGUCGGGUCCUAAGGAAAAGCCGAAAGGCGUAUUCGAUGGACAACAGGUUAAUAUUCCUGUACUAGCAAUAAUUGCGAUGGAGUGACGGAGUAGUGAAAGGUCUGCGCACGGACGGAUGUGUGCGUUGAAAGGUGUAGAUAUACCUGGGGCAGUUAAAUGCGUUCCGGGUGUCGAACCCAAUAGUACCACGGAGGUUCGCCAAAGUGGAUAUGACCCUAAUCAAACUCCCAAGAAAAACUUCUAAGCUUCAGAUUAUUGCUACCCGUACCGCAAACCGACACAGGUAGUCAAGUAGAAUAUACUAAGGCGCUCGAGUGAAUCAUGGCUAAGGAACUCGGCAAAUUAACCCUGUAACUUCGGGAAAAAGGGUGCCCAUAGCAAUAUGGGCCGCAGUGAAAUAGCGGUGGCGACUGUUUAUCAAAAACACAUGGCUUUGCAAAAUCGAAAGAUGAAGUAUAAGGCCUGACACCUGCCCAAUGCUGGAAGGUUAAGAGGAGAGGUUAGUAGUAAUACAAAGCUUUGAAUCGAAGCCCCAGUGAAUGGCGGCCGUAACUAUAACGGUCCUAAGGUAGCGAAAUUCCUUGUCGGGUAAGUUCCGACCUGCACGAAUGGUGUAACGAUCUCCGCUCUGUCUCAGCCAUGAGCUCGGUGAAAUUGUAGUAUCGGUGAAGAUGCCGAUUACCCGCAACGGGACGGAAAGACCCCGUGCACCUUUACUAUAGCUUAACAUUGACUUUGGAUAACUAAUGUGUAGGAUAGGUGGGAGACUUUGAAGCAGUGGCGCCAGCCAUUGUGGAGUCGUCCUUGAAAUACCACCCUUUGGUUAUUUGAAUUCUAAUCCCUCAAAAGGGGAGACAUUGUUUGGUGGGUAGUUUGACUGGGGUGGUCGCCUCCAAAAUUGUAUCGGAGGCUUUCAAAGGUACCCCCU